CGAGGGGCAGCGGGGAGCAAGCUUGCUUGCUCUGCCGGCGACCGGCGCACGGGUGAGUAACACGUAUGCAACCUGCCCUCCGCAGGGGGAUAACCCGGAGAAAUCCGGACUAAUACCGCGUGGUACACUUGUGGGGCAUCCCACGGGUGUUAAAAGGAAGUGAUUCCGGCGGAGGAUGGGCAUGCGGCGCAUUAGCUGGUUGGCGGGGUAACGGCCCACCAAGGCGACGAUGCGUAGGGGUUCUGAGAGGAAGGUCCCCCACACUGGUACUGAGACACGGACCAGACUCCUACGGGAGGCAGCAGUGAGGAAUAUUGGUCAAUGGGCGGGAGCCUGAACCAGCCAAGUCGCGUGAGGGAAGACGGUCCUAUGGAUUGUAAACCUCUUUAGGCGGGGAGCAAUGCCGGGCACGCGUGCCCGGAGGGAGAGUACCCGCAGAAUAAGCAUCGGCUAACUCCGUGCCAGCAGCCGCGGUAAUACGGAGGAUGCGAGCGUUAUCCGGAUUUAUUGGGUUUAAAGGGUGCGUAGGCGGAUUUUUAAGUCAGCGGUAAAAUGUCCGGGCUCAACCCGGGCCGGCCGUUGAAACUGGGGAUCUUGAGUGGGCGAGAAGUAUGCGGAAUGCGUGGUGUAGCGGUGAAAUGCAUAGAUAUCACGCAGAACUCCGAUUGCGAAGGCAGCAUACCGGCGCCCGACUGGCGCUGAGGCACGAAAGCGUGGGGAUCGAACAGGAUUAGAUACCCUGGUAGUCCACGCAGUAAACGAUGAAUGCUAGUUGUCCGGUUCUUU
RNAcentral lists this ribosomal RNA (786 nucleotides) under uncultured bacterium. RNAcentral describes it as "bacterial SSU rRNA". It matches the Rfam family "Bacterial small subunit ribosomal RNA", at positions 63 to 833 of the family's 1533-position model. The record is from RNAcentral.